CUGAUGUUCAAACCUUCUUAACCU
This 24-nucleotide non-coding RNA is filed under the name Rattus norvegicus (Norway rat). Lineage: Eukaryota; Metazoa; Chordata; Mammalia; Rodentia; Muridae. The record is from RNAcentral.